Molecule: ribosomal RNA, 497 nt
Filed under: uncultured bacterium
Lineage: Bacteria
Description: partial 16S ribosomal RNA
Rfam family: Bacterial small subunit ribosomal RNA
Source: RNAcentral
GAUGAACGCUGGCGGCGUGCCUAAUACAUGCAAGUCGAGCGAACAGAUGAGGAGCUUGCUCCUCUGACGUUAGCGGCGUACGGAUGCGUAACACGUCGCUAACCUACCUAUAAGACUGGGAUAAAUUCGGGAAACCUGUGCUAAUACCGGCGAAUAUAUUAAACCGCAUGGUUCAAUAGUGAAAGACGGUUUUGCUAUCACUUAUAGAUGGAUCCGCGCCGCAUUAGCUAGUUGGUAAGGUAACGGCUUACCAAGGCAACGAUGCGUAGCCGACCUGAGAGGGUGAUCAGCCACACUGGAACUGAGACACGGUCCAGACUCCUACGGGAGGCAGCAGUAGGGAAUCUUCCGCAAUGAGCGAAAGCCUGACGGAGCAACGCCGCGUGAGUGAUGAAGGUCUUCGGAUCGUAAAACUCUGUUAUUAGGGAAGAACAAAUGUGUAAGUAACUAUGCACGUCUUGACGGUACCUAAUCAGAAAGCCACGGCUAACUACGUG